Long non-coding RNA from Panicum virgatum (switchgrass), 1422 nucleotides. RefSeq lists it as uncharacterized. The record is from RefSeq and is a predicted model, not a curated record. NCBI's taxonomy places the organism in Eukaryota, Viridiplantae, Streptophyta, Magnoliopsida, Poales, Poaceae. The transcript has 5 exons.
AGCAUGGGCAUCAGGAAAGGCAAACCAAAUAUGCCUCUUCAAUUCAUACUGUGCAUCACAAAAUUACCUCCAACAGACUAGGCAUAAGAAGCAGGCAUUUUGCCUUUGAAGAGAGAGACGAAGUAAAAAUACAUGUUCUCUCUCCUGCAAGGCAUUUGAGGAGGGGACAACGACCGAGAGUCGGAAGAGUAGCCGGAGGCGGAGCAAGCGGCACCCCGCGGGCUGGGCGACCCUGUGCGCGCAGCGCGUAGGGCGAGCGGCGGCGGCACGCUGGGCUAGCGACGGCGGAGCCUGCGUGCACGAGGUGGGCGGCGCGCGGGGCGAGAGCGGCGGCAAGCAACUGAACCACAAGAAACACCUGCGACGAAUGGAUAAUCAGAUUCCCAGAUUUGGAGGGCAGGGCUCUCAAGACCAGCCGUCUUAUGCUCCUGAUCAAUGGCCCUAUCAGCUACAAUCCUCCAUAGACCCUCUUGAGUGCCCACAGUCCGAACAGGUGAAUUAUGUCAGGGGUGCGCAAGUUUAUCGCGAAGAUGUGGAGAUUGUGCAACCUCCUACAACACGGAAAGGCAAGGAGAAGAAGGUGUCGCGGAGGGGUGGUGGUUUCACAAAAGAAGAAGAUGGAGUCCUUUGUUCCGCCUUCCUCAACGUAAGCAAGGAUGCAAUAACCGGUGUCAAUCAGACUUAAGGAGGUUAUUACAAACGGUUGCAUGAUUAUUAUAAUACUUUUAAGCCAGAGGGAAGUAACCGCAGCCAACUAGCUAUCCAGUAUAGGUGGGGCACCAUUCAAAGAUCGGUGAACAAGUUCUGUGGGUUUAAGUCUGCUGUUGAUCGUCUUCAUGAGAGUGGGAAGAAUGAACAAGACAGGAUUGACGAUGCAGUCCGUAUGUACGAGGCUGUGGAACCUUUCCAAUUCAUGCAUUGCUGGAAAAUCCUCCGAAACGAAUCAAAAUGGAAUGACAAUGUUUUGGAGCUCAACAGCAACUCUGCAGGGACAGGGGGGAAGGUUCUUCACAAGCAAACACAGCUCCUACUGCAGUGGCAGAUGAAGGUAAUGAGAAUAGCAUUCCUGCUAGACCAGCAGGAAGAGAUAGUACUAAAAGAAAGAGUUGCAGAUGCUUCCUCAUCCAGCACAGCAGUUGAUGUGCUUCAACGCAUUCACGACAACAGGGAGAAGUGCCAACAGAAAGAAGAUGAGCAAAUGGUUCAGAUCCUUACUAGGAAAGAUGAGAAACUCAGCCUUCAAAGGGAAUAUCUAGAUCUCAAGAAGCAGCAGCGUGACGAUAAUCUAUGUGUGAACUCAACUUUGUAAGUUCUGUUGUAAUGAUCGUUUCACAACAUCAGUUUUAUAUAUGUGGUAGAGCAAAACGAAAAGUGGAACAAAAUUAGAGACUUAUACUUCCUGACAUGUUCUACUUAAUUACA